RNAcentral lists this ribosomal RNA (486 nucleotides) under uncultured bacterium. Its description in RNAcentral is "partial 16S ribosomal RNA". It matches the Rfam family "Bacterial small subunit ribosomal RNA", at positions 28 to 523 of the family's 1533-position model. The record is from RNAcentral.
GAUAAACGCUGGCGGCGCACAUAAGACAUGCAAGUCGAACGGACUUAACAGUUAGUUUACUAAUGGAGCGGUUAGUGGCGGACUGGUGAGUAACACGCAAGCAACCUGCCUAUCAGAGGGGAACAACAGUUAGAAAUGACUGCUAAUACCGCAUAUGCCUUAGCAACACAUGUUGCAAAAGGGAAAGGAGGAAUCCACUGAUAGAUGGGCUUGCGUCUGAUUAGAUAGUUGGUGGGGUAGCGGCCUACCAAGUCGACGAUCAGUAGCCGGACUGAGAGGUUGAACGGCCACAUUGGGACUGAGAUACGGCCCAGACUCCUACGGGAGGCAGCAGUCGGGAAUAUUGCGCAAUGGAGGAAACUCUGACGCAGUGACGCCGCGUGCAGGAAGAAGGUUUUCGGAUUGUAAACUGCUUUAGACAGGGAAGAAUAAAGACAGUACCUGUAGAAUAAGCUCCGGCUAACUACGUGCCAGCAGCCGCGGUAA